RNAcentral lists this ribosomal RNA (301 nucleotides) under uncultured bacterium. Its description in RNAcentral is "partial 16S ribosomal RNA". It matches the Rfam family "Bacterial small subunit ribosomal RNA", at positions 509 to 807 of the family's 1533-position model. The record is from RNAcentral.
CAGUCGCCGCGGUAAUACCGAGGAUGCGAGCGUUAUUCGGAAUGAUUGGGCGUAAAGCGUCUGUAGGUGGCUUUUCAAGUCCGCCGUCAAAUCCCAGGGCUCAACUCUGGACAGGCGGUGGAAACUACCAAGCUAGAGUACGGUAGAGGCAGAGGGAAUUCCGAGUGUAGAGGUGAAAUUCGUAGACAUCGGAAGGAACACCUGUGGCGAAAGCGGCUCACUGGACCAUUUCUGACGCUGAUGCACGAAAGCUAGGGGAGCAAACAGGAUUAGAUACCCCAGUAGUCCCUGUCUCUUAUAC